Molecule: ribosomal RNA, 459 nt
Filed under: uncultured bacterium
Lineage: Bacteria
Description: partial 16S ribosomal RNA
Rfam family: Bacterial small subunit ribosomal RNA
Source: RNAcentral
CCUACGGGUGGCAGCAGUGAGGAAUAUUGGUCAAUGGCCGAGAGGCUGAACCAGCCAAGUCGCGUGAGGGAAGACGGCCCUACGGGUUGUAAACCUCUUUUGUCGGGGAGCAAAGCGAGUCACGUGUGACUCAUUGAAAGUACCCGAAGAAAAAGCAUCGGCUAACUCCGUGCCAGCAGCCGCGGUAAGACGGGGGAUGCGAGCGUUAUCCGGAUUUAUUGGGUUGAAAGGGUGCGCAGGAGGAGGUGCAAGGCAGGGGUCAAAUUGCGGGGCUCAACCCCGUACUGCCGUUGAAACUGCAUGCCUUGAGUGCGCGAGAAGUAUGCGGAAUGCGUGGUGUAGCGGUGAAAUGCAUAGAUAUCACGCAGAACUCCGAUUGCGAAGGCAGCAUACCGGCGCGCAACUGACGCUCAUGCACGAAAGCGUGGGUAUCGAACAGGAUUAGAUACCCGAGUAGUC